UACGUAGGGGGCAAGCGUUGUCCGGAUUUAUUGGGCGUAAAGCGCGUGUAGGCGGCCAGGUAGGUCCGUUGUGAAAACUCGAGGCUCAACCUCGAGACGUCGACGAAAACCAUCUGGCUAGAGUCCGGAAGAGGAGAGUGGAAUUCCUGGUGUAGCGGUGAAAUGCGCAGAUAUCAGGAAGAACACCCGUGGCGAAGGCGGCUCUCUGGGACGGUACUGACGCUGAGACGCGAAAGCGUGGGGAGCGAACAGG
Molecule: ribosomal RNA, 253 nt
Filed under: uncultured bacterium
Lineage: Bacteria
Description: partial 16S ribosomal RNA
Rfam family: Bacterial small subunit ribosomal RNA
Source: RNAcentral